CCUACGGGGGGCAGCAGUGGGGAAUAUUGGGCAAUGGGCGCAAGCCUGACCCAGCAACGCCGCGUGAAGGAAGAAGGCUCUCGGGUUGUAAACUUCUUUUGUUAGGGAAGAGUAGAAGACGGUACCUGACGAAUAAGCCACGGCUAGCUACGUGCCAGCAGCCGCGGUAAUACGUAGGUGGCAAGCGUUGUCCGGAUUUACUGGGUGUAAAGGGCGUGUAGCCGGGUUGAUAAGUCAGAUGUGAAAGCCUGAGGCUUAACCGCAGAACUGCAUUUGAAACUGUUGGUCUUGAGUACUGGAGAGGCAGACGGAAUUCCUGGUGUAGCGGUGAAAUGCGUAGAUAUUAGGAGGAACACCAGUGGCGAAGGCGGUCUGCUGGACAGCAACUGACGGUGAGGCGCGAAAGCGUGGGGAGCAAACAGGAUUAGAUACCCCUGUAGUC
RNAcentral lists this ribosomal RNA (442 nucleotides) under uncultured bacterium. Its description in RNAcentral is "partial 16S ribosomal RNA". It matches the Rfam family "Bacterial small subunit ribosomal RNA", at positions 338 to 795 of the family's 1533-position model. The record is from RNAcentral.